AUGAUCCUUGAUAUAAAAGGUAAAGUCACAUUAUUCAAACUAUUUCAUGUUAAAUUACAAUCCGUCAUAAUAACUUGUAUAAGAAUUGCAACUAACAUUGCGGCCUCUUUAGCUUUGCCAUUAACAUCUCUGGCCCACCAUGAUUUGGCAUUGAUUCAUAUUAUUUCUCGAACUCUUGUUCUUUUUCAAUAA
Vicia faba (fava bean) is the source of this 192-nucleotide non-coding RNA. The record is from the annotation of a GenBank genome assembly. Lineage: Eukaryota; Viridiplantae; Streptophyta; Magnoliopsida; Fabales; Fabaceae.